CCUACGGGUGGCUGCAGUGAGGAAUAUUGGUCAAUGGGCGCAAGCCUGAACCAGCCAUCCCGCGUGCAGGAAGACGGCCCUAUGGGUUGUAAACUGCUUUUCCAGGGGACGAAUAGUUUCUACGUGUAGAGACCUGACGGUACCUUGGGAAUAAGCAUCGGCUAACUCCGUGCCAGCAGCCGCGGUAAUACGGAGGAUGCAAGCGUUAUCCGGAUUCAAGGGGUCGAAAGGGUGCGAAGACGGAUUAAGAGAAAUCCUACAGCUUAACUGUAGAACUGCCAUUGAUACUGUUAGUCUUGAGUUUGGUUAAGGUAGGCGGAAUGUGUAAUGUAGCGGUGAAAUGCUUAGAUAUUACACAGAACACCAAUUGCGAAGGCAGCUUACUGGACCGACACUGACGCUGAGGCACGAAAGCGUGGGGAUCGAACAGGAUUAGAUACCCGUGUAGUC
Molecule: ribosomal RNA, 450 nt
Filed under: uncultured bacterium
Lineage: Bacteria
Description: partial 16S ribosomal RNA
Rfam family: Bacterial small subunit ribosomal RNA
Source: RNAcentral